RNAcentral lists this ribosomal RNA (429 nucleotides) under Actinomycetes bacterium. RNAcentral describes it as "Actinobacteria bacterium partial 16S ribosomal RNA". It matches the Rfam family "Bacterial small subunit ribosomal RNA", at positions 355 to 776 of the family's 1533-position model. The record is from RNAcentral. Lineage: Bacteria; Bacillati; Actinomycetota; Actinomycetes.
UAGGGAAUCUUCCGCAAUGGGCGAAAGCUUGACGGAGCAACGCCGCGUGAGUGAUGAAGGUCUUCGGAUCGUAAAACUCUGUUAUUAGGGAAGAACAAAUGUGUAAGUAACUAUGCACGUCUUGACGUUACCUAAUCAGAAAGCCACGGCUAACUACGUGCCAGCAGCCGCGGUAAUACGUAGGUGGCAAGCGUUAUCCGGAAUUAUUGGGCGUAAAGCGCGCGUAGGCGGUUUUUUAAUUCUGAUGUGAAAGCCCACGGCUCAACCGUGGAGGGUCAUUGGAAACUGGAAAACUUGAGUGCAGAAGAGGAAAGUGGAAUUCCAUGUGUAGCGGUGAAAUGCGCAGAGAUAUGGAGGAACACCAGUGGCGAAGGCGACUUUCUGGUCUGUAACUGACGCUGAUGUGCGAAAGCGUGGGGAUCAAACAGG